Molecule: ribosomal RNA, 301 nt
Filed under: uncultured bacterium
Lineage: Bacteria
Description: partial 16S ribosomal RNA
Rfam family: Bacterial small subunit ribosomal RNA
Source: RNAcentral
CAGCAGCCACGGGAAUACGUAGGGUGCAAGCGUUAAUCGGAAUUACUGGGCGUAAAGCGUGCGCAGGCGGUUAUAUAAGACAGAUGUGAAAUCCCCGGGCUCAACCUGGGAACUGCAUUUGUGACUGUAUAGCUAGAGUACGGCAGAGGGGGAUGGAAUUCCGCGUGUAGCAGUGAAAUGCGUAGAUAUGCGGAGGAACACCGAUGGCGAAGGCAAUCCACUGGGCCUGUACUGACGCUCAUGCACGAAAGCGUGGGGAGCAAACAGGAUUAGAUACCCGCGUAGUCCCUGUCUCUUAUAC